CGGGGUGUGGCGCAGCCUGGUAGCGCAUCUGCAUGGGGUGCAGAGGGUCGGAGGUUCGAAUCCUCUCACCCCGACCA
RNAcentral lists this transfer RNA (77 nucleotides) under Pseudogulbenkiania ferrooxidans 2002. RNAcentral's name for it is "tRNA-Pro". It matches the Rfam family "tRNA". From Rfam's summary of the family: Transfer RNA (tRNA) molecules are approximately 80 nucleotides in length. Lineage: Bacteria; Pseudomonadati; Pseudomonadota; Betaproteobacteria; Neisseriales; Chromobacteriaceae. RNAcentral also lists the same sequence under 5 other names. The record is from RNAcentral.